Molecule: ribosomal RNA, 468 nt
Filed under: uncultured bacterium
Lineage: Bacteria
Description: partial 16S ribosomal RNA
Rfam family: Bacterial small subunit ribosomal RNA
Source: RNAcentral
GACGAACGCUGGCGGCGUGCUUAACACAUGCAAGUCGAACGGAAAGGCCCUGCUUUUGGGGGGUGCUCGAGUGGCGAACGGGUGAGUAACACGUGAGUAACCUGCCCUUGACUUUGGGAUAACUUCAGGAAACUGGGGCUAAUACCGGAUAGGAGCUCCUGCUGCAUGGUGGGGGUUGGAAAGUUUCGGCGGUUGGGGAUGGACUCGCGGCUUAUCAGCUUGUUGGUGGGGUAGUGGCUUACCAAGGCUUUGACGGGUAGCCGGCCUGAGAGGGUGACCGGCCACAUUGGGACUGAGAUACGGCCCAGACUCCUACGGGAGGCAGCAGUGGGGAAUAUUGCACAAUGGGCGGAAGCCUAAUGCAGCAACGCCGCGUGCGGGAUGACGGCCUUCGGGUUGUAAACCGCUUUCGCCUGUGACGAAGCGUGAGUGACGGUAAUGGGUAAAGAAGCACCGGCUAACUACGUG